GAAAAAGAGAGACGCCUUCAGAUUCAACGGAUGAAGCGAUGGAAACGAGACCUUGGAAAUCUCGUAAACUUCUAGCUAUUUACCCGAGUCAUGCAGAAAGGAAGCAAAAAGCACUGAAGAUCCCAAGCACACUCAUGGAGACCCUUUCUAGAAACUUCCAAGAGCAUCUGGCUUCUUCUCUGGGGGCUGCCUGAGGGCCAGCUACCCUGGGACUCACCGCCGGCUUCUGGGGGAAGGAUCAGCCCCAGUACCAGCGGGGGCUGGGCCAGGAGCAGAGAUGCCUGUGACUUCAGUUUAUCUACGGUUUGCACUGAAGGCAGGGAGCAUGUGGAGCCUGAAUUCAGCUCAGGGGAGAUGCUCCACGAGGCAGGGGGCUGCCAAGUGUGCUGACGGUGAUGUCAAAGCCGGAGCUUUGGAGGCGAGGCCAGGAGAGGCCCUGCAAGUCCUCAGCACCCCCACUUCCUCUUUCAGUGCUCCUCUCCCUUGUGACAGCAACCCCCCCCAGCCCUAC
Molecule: long non-coding RNA, 511 nt
Organism: Bubalus bubalis (water buffalo)
Lineage: Eukaryota; Metazoa; Chordata; Mammalia; Artiodactyla; Bovidae
Exons: 3
Source: RefSeq, a predicted model, not a curated record